GCGCUGCGCUGCGGUGCGAAGAGCCGGGCGGCGGCCAGAGCCCUCCCCGCGCUGCCAGUGGGACGCGGAGCCAGGGAUCCCCGGCUUUGCCCCGGGGCUGGGGUGCAACAGACUCUUAACUUGGUCGUCGCGCCCCGCCAACCGCCCCCGGGCAGGAAACGCCCAGAACCACCACCGCGCCGCGCUCCACAAAAGCCCCGGGAGUUCCAAGACGGGAGGGAUCGGGCGCGCUCCAGAGGCAGGAGGGUCCCCCACACCCUCAGGCUCAUGCCCAGCUCCCCCAUCGGGCAGCCCCCAGCCCCAUGAGGACCCUCAGGCCGGGGCGAGAGCCCGGCACAGCCCGGACCGAAAUUUUGCCGCUGCCUUAGAGCGUUAGACAGGAUGUGGCUGGGCCGCCGGGCCCUGUGCGCUCUGGUCCUUCUGCUCGCCUGCGCCUCGCUGGGGCUCCUGUACGCGAGCACCCGGGACGCGCCCGGCCUCCGGGUACCUCUUGCGCCGUGGGCGCCCCCGCAAAGCCCCCGCAGGCCCGAGCUGCCAGAUCUUGCUCCUGAGCCCCGCUACGCACACAUCCCGGUCAGGAUCAAGGAGCAAGUAGUGGGGCUGCUGGCUUGGAACAACUGCAGUUGUGAGUCCAGUGGGGGGGGCCUCCCCCUCCCCUUCCAGAAACAAGUCCGAGCUAUUGACCUCACCAAGGCCUUUGACCCUGCAGAGCUGAGGGCUGCCUCUGCCACAAGAGAGCAGGAGUUCCAGGCCUUUCUGUCGAGGAGCCAGUCCCCAGCUGACCAGCUGCUCAUAGCCCCUGCCAACUCCCCGCUCCAGUACCCCCUACAGGGUGUGGAAGUUCAGCCCCUCAGGAGCAUCUUGGUGCCAGGGCUGAGCCUUCAGGCAGCUUCUGGUCAGGAGGUAUACCAGGUGAACCUGACUGCCUCCCUAGGCACCUGGGACGUGGCAGGGGAAGUGACUGGAGUUACUCUCACUGGAGAGGGUCAGGCAGAUCUCACCCUUGUCAGCCCAGGGCUGGACCAACUCAACAGGCAACUACAACUGGUCACUUACAGCAGCCGAAGCUACCAGACCAACACAGCAGACACAGUCCGGUUCUCCACCGAGGGACAUGAGGCUGCUUUCACUAUCCGCAUAAGACACCCGCCCAACCCUCGGCUGUACCCACCUGGGUCUCUACCCCAGGGAGCCCAGUACAACAUCAGUGCUCUAGUCACGAUUGCCACCAAGACCUUCCUCCGUUAUGAUCGGCUACGGGCUCUCAUCACCAGUAUCCGCCGCUUCUACCCAACGGUUACCGUGGUCAUCGCUGACGACAGCGACAAGCCAGAGCGCGUUAGUGGCCCCUACGUGGAACACUAUCUCAUGCCCUUCGGCAAGGGCUGGUUCGCAGGCCGGAACCUGGCCGUGUCCCAAGUAACCACCAAGUACGUGCUGUGGGUGGACGACGACUUCGUCUUCACGGCGCGGACGCGGCUGGAGAGGCUUGUGGACGUGCUGGAGCGGACGCCGCUGGACCUGGUAGGGCAGGGGCUGCAGGAUGUGGGGGUGGAGAAGGGCCUUGAACAGGCUAAGGCCACAGCGGGGGCCCUGCGGCCAGGAACGGCCAGCCCUAGGACAAAGAGAGAACCACGAAGUGGGGCCUGGGAACUGUCUGGGUCCUGCAGGGGUGAAGCGGAAGAGGAUGGGUCAGGGGUACCCCCGAAGGCACCGGAGCGCAGACCUUGACUCCUUCGGGUCCCCUAUCCCAGGCCCGCCUGGAGGCAACCUCCCUCUCCCUGCAGGUGGGGGGCGCGGUGCGCGAGAUCUCCGGCUUUGCCACCACUUAUCGGCAGCUGCUGAGCGUGGAGCCCGGCGCCCCAGGCCUCGGGAACUGCCUCCGGCAAAGGCGCGGCUUCCACCACGAGCUCGUCGGCUUCCCGGGCUGCGUGGUCACCGACGGCGUGGUUAACUUCUUCCUGGCGCGGACUGACAAGGUGCGCGAGGUCGGUUUCGACCCCCGCCUCAGCCGCGUGGCUCAUCUGGAAUUCUUCUUGGAUGGGCUUGGUUCCCUUCGGGUUGGCUCCUGCUCCGACGUCGUGGUGGAUCAUGCAUCCAAACUGAAGCUGCCUUGGACAUCAAGGGAUGCCGGGGCAGAGACUUACGCCCGGUACCGUUACCCAGGAUCACUGGACGAGAGCCAGAUGGCCAAACACCGGCUGCUCUUCUUCAAACACCGGCUGCAGUGCAUGACCUCCCAGUGAUGGCCCGCUGGGGAUUUCUGACUGUCAGGCUGGGCCUGCCUCCUUGUCCCUGCCAGGAAUUUCCAACAAACCCCACCACCCUGUGAGCACUCUACUGGCUGUCCCUGAGCCUCUAGUUCCUCACUCUUCCUUUUCAGAACCUGAUGCCCAGUAGGGGUUGUCCUGGUGACACCCCUCCUUUUUCCAGUGCCCAGAGGCCUGGUGGAGCCAUAACCUCUCCCACAGCCAGUGCCAAGUCCUCCCCCUGCCCAUUCUCAUGGGGCAGGAAAUGGGGGGAUCACUUUCCAAGUGCCAAAGAGCCCAGAGGGACUCUAAGAACCUAAGGUGGAAACACUGUCCUCUCAUCUUGGGACCGAGGGGGUGGGGAAGUUCCCCAACACAUAAUCCCAAGACUGUGCCCCUCAUCCGCAUCUUCAGAUCCAGUACUCUGUGUACCUGCUCCAGCCCCACCCCCACAGAGAGAACUUGUGGCUCUGGGGCUGGGGUGAGGGCUGGUGGUUGGUGAAAGCCAUUCUUAGUUGUGUCUCUGCAAUGCUGUGGGCACAAAAGAAGGGGCACCAGAGUCCCUGUGCAAACACCUAGACUCACUUUAUGGAUUCCAAAGCUCUCAGCUUCAUUUUAUUAGUUACGUUAGGUAAGGGGGUUCAAGGGUCAUGGUCCUCAUCACACACAUGUCAUCAGGGCCCUCUGCACUCCACAUGAUGAGGUCAGACCCACACGGUGCAAAUCUUUGGGUCAGUGAGCUCCUGGAGAAGAGAGGAGAAAUGUCAGGAAUAGAUUAGGCACCCCUCUUCCUUAAUGAAAUGUGGCAGUCCUCUCAGGGGUACCCCACCUACUUAGGGAUCUGAGUUCUUCAGUUCCUCACCCAUAGCUCAGCCCGGGCUCCCUGAUUUGGUCUUCAAUCUACUAUUCAUUCUGUCCCCACCCUUUUCUUCUUGAUCUUCCUCAGACCCUUUCCCAAACCCCUCUCCCUGGGUCUCCAGCCACUUACCCCUGCCUCACUUGCCGCAGCCCAGUGCCUCCCAGCUCCCACUCCUGGUGCUACUGCCCCUUACCAGGCUCCCCAGGGCAUAAGCAGCUGCAUCCUGCACACUCACAAACAGCUGAUCUGGGGUCACCCUGUCCAGGAGUCCUGCCCGGGUCAGUGUCCCCUGCACCAAGGCUACGUGGGGAGGGUGUCAGACUCUGAGACCCUAAGUCCACACCGGGUCCUUUUCCCUCCCGCAGGUGUCCAGUCAUUGCCCAGGCACUGGGCCCCGCUCUUCUCCACACAUCUCACCAUUACACUGAGCCAGGAGGAGGCGGAUCCUAGCAUCUCGACAUCGGCUGGCCAGCUGCAGGGAUGGGGCAAAGGGGUUAAGUCCCAGAUCAGAGGGUAUGAGUGAGAUGCUAAGGGGUUUCUCCUCAACCUACCCUCUCCCUCACCUGCACCACUUCUCUGGCCCCAGCAGCAUCUGCAAAGGUGACACCACUGAAGUCUAGGACCACCACCCUGACAGGCUCAGCAACUAGAAUGGGAGAAGACAGGAGUACCCAGGUGUCACCAUGCAACAUGCCCAAAUCUUCCUUCUUGUCACCCCAUCUCACCUGCAACCAUUGGGCCAUCUGGCUUUGAAGUCUCCUAUAAGUAAAGAAGGGCAGUCACCACUCCCGAAACACAGCAUGAACAUGCACCCCUUGAGCACAAGGAUCCCCCUCAGAACACCCACCUGCCUCCCACUCCCUGAGGAUCCACAUCCCUCCUAAACCAAGCUCCUUCACCUUUUCUCCUUCUCCGAGCCCCAGGUGCCACUCCAGGUUGCGGCGAAACUGCCCAUGGGUCCCAAAGUACAGUGGUGUUGGAUAGCUCAGGAUGCAGAGCCCCGGGACCUGGAGGAGCUAAGAGGUCAAAGGAUCAGAGAAAUGUCUGGGGCUAAUCUUCCCUUCCGUCUUUGGCUGCAGCCCACCCACCUUGGGGCUUCCUCUGAGUGGUCUGUAGAGCUCUGUCCCCUCAGCCUGUCCAAGUGCCAGGCACUACACCCUAGGGAAGAAGGUGGGGCCAGAUUUCCAGCUUAGCCUGGCCUGGCUGGAGAGUCACCCCAAGCACCUCAUUCUCUUCCCCUGCCCCGACCUCAACUCCACUCAUCUCUAUGCCCACCUCCGGGUGCGGCAGACCACAGUCAUCAUGGAGAAGACCACACCCACAGCCAGGCCCAAAUCCACACUCAGGGUCACUACAGCCACCCAGGUGACCAUCCACACAGCCUGCAGGAUAGGGAUAGGGGUGGAUUGCCCAAAAGAAAAGCCAGGCCAUCACUGCUGGGUAAAGAGAUCCAGGGCAGUGACUACCAAGGCAAGUGAUGGGGAGAGAUGACCCAGGAAGUAGAAAACAUGACAGAAGGAAACAACAGGGUUGAUUCAAUGGGACACACACCAAAUGUAAUGACCCGCACCAGUUGGGAAGUUACAAAUAUUCAGGUCAAAGGGGUUCAAACCCCAUCCUUUCCCUUGCCUGUGAGUAAAGCAUACUAGGAGUUAUGUUUGCUGGGGGAGUGGGUGGGUUGCAGAACUUAAGACCAGGACAAUUAGGUUUGGUUCAGGGCAGAGGCUGGGGAUGCUAACAAGAUGAGAGGGGGCAAUCUGGGGGUAAUGGCAUUUCUCACAAAGUCCACUCGGCUGAUGUGCCAUAGUUGUGGAAGUUCCUGCAUCUGGCAGAACACCUGGCGCAUGCUGGAGAUGUUGAUGCAAGCCAGGACAGCCUUGAGGCAGAGGAGGUGGGCUGACUACCUCGAUGUCCUGGAAUACAGCUACCCCUCCCAGCCAUGCUCAUGCCUCCUCUGCUCCUUACCUUGGGCAGAUAGUAAAAGAAGGGCCCCAGCCACAGCAGCACCGACAGGACCACUGUGCAGGAGAAGAGGCCUGCCAGCUAGAGAAAAGGAGGAACAGGAGCAAAAAAGGAAGAGAGCCUCCCACCCCCACAUGAGAGCUGGUCUUCCUGCCCACUCUGCCUAAUCUUCCUCGGAAGUCUCCCUUCUCCCAAAUCUCCUUCCACACAACCCCCUUCUUAAUAUUCUGCCAUUCACAUCUAACCCUCCCGCUCCCCCCAAUUAAUUAAAUGCCCAUUAUUCACCAGUCUCCUUGUAGAUGUCCGUUGUUCAAGUUCCCCAGUUUUGCAGCCCACCUCCACCUUAAAAGCCACUGUUGGGUUACCCUAUAAGCAGGGUAUAUGUGUUUAGGGCACCAGCAAAGUAAGGGAAACCAAAAAUAUUAGGGGGAGACUUUGAUAUGUGAUAUUCCUUUUAAAAGACAAUGUCAUUGUGUGAAAAAAAUAAGAAUUUUAUCUCAAGUUU
Molecule: small RNA, 5575 nt
Filed under: Pan troglodytes (chimpanzee)
Lineage: Eukaryota; Metazoa; Chordata; Mammalia; Primates; Hominidae
Description: retained intron
Source: RNAcentral